CGAAGAACCUUACCGGUCUUGACAUCCUCUGACAACUCUAGAGAUAGAGCGUUCCCCUUCGGGGGACAGAGUGACAGGUGGUGCAUGGUUGUCGUCAGCUCGUGUCGUGAGAUGUUGGGUUAAGUCCCGCAACGAGCGCAACCCUUGAUCUUAGUUGCCAGCAUUAAGUUGGGCACUCUAAGGUGACUGCCGGUGACAAACCGGAGGAAGGUGGGGAUGACGUCAAAUCAUCAUGCCCCUUAUGACCUGGGCUACACACGUGCUACAAUGGAUGGUACAAAGGGCUGCAAGACCGCGAGGUCAAGCCAAUCCCAUAAAACCAUUCUCAGUUCGGAUUGUAGGCUGCAACUCGCCUACAUGAUGUUGGAAUCGCUAGUAAUCGCGGAUCAGCAUGCCGCGGGUGAAUACGUUCCCGGGCCUUGUACACACCGCCCGU
This 436-nucleotide ribosomal RNA is filed under the name Priestia flexa. RNAcentral describes it as "bacterial SSU rRNA". It matches the Rfam family "Bacterial small subunit ribosomal RNA", at positions 962 to 1397 of the family's 1533-position model. Lineage: Bacteria; Bacillati; Bacillota; Bacilli; Caryophanales; Bacillaceae. The record is from RNAcentral.